GAUGAGGCCUAAUGCAUGGGUAGAAUAAUAGGUUUUCAAAUAGCUAAUCACUGAUUUCAACUCAUUGGAGAUUUGACUUUCUCAGUGUUUCCAUAUUACUGAUUCAAAAGAACUUAGGAAAAUAUAUUAUCAAAUAAAAAUAUUUCUAUAGUCAGCUGAGCAGAAGUUUCUUUUUUCCUAGCAAGCACAGUGGGCUUUUACUUGUUACAUAAUAGUUUAUUAGAUGGAAAAAAAUAAGGUGUGCUUUUUCAUGCAGUAGCCACUUAAUUUUCCCUGAUCGUUUCUAGUUCUCAGUUAGGUUAUCUCAUUUUAAGUACGGAGGAUGCUGUAUUUUCCAGUAUCUUCUUUUGCUUUUGUGGUGAUUGGGAAGGUAUUCCUUUGCAUGAGCUACUUGCACCUGGCCCGAAAUCCAUGAAAGAGAAUACGAUGAAAAAAAAAAAUGACAUGGCCUCCAGCACUUUCUUCUUUCUUUCUUUUUUAUUUUAUUUUAUUUUAUUUUUUAUUUUUCAUAUGAAACAUUUUCCUGCCAGGAUCUUCUAUAUACAGUUGGAGGAUGCUUUUGAUAUGUAGAUCAAGCAAAAUGGUAAAUACAGAGCCCUCUCUUUUCAAACAUUCCCUUAUUCUACAAUGUGCCUGUAGUGUCACUGUCUUUGAUUUCCAUGAGGCUUGCCCUUGGGUUUGUAUUGUAACUUGGUAUCUUUCCAUUGUCCCUUACCACAAAAAAUUCCUUUUUAAGAAACUGAAUUCAGAAUGUAAUCCAUCAAGCUUUAGCUCCUCUUUCUCUUUCCUUCUGGAAGAUUUAGUGACUAAGUCUUUGGUUUGAUUUUCUUUCUCUGACUUUGAGGGGUCUCACUUUCUCUUCUAAUUGCUACAAUCUGGUAACUCCUUUUGCUUGGAGCAAACAAAAACAGAAACACUUGGUGAGGAGACAAACAGGCUCACAAGCUCACGUGCCUGACUAGCUGAUGGAUGGCAAGGUCUGGCUCUCAGGAAGAGAUCUUUCCAUGACACCAUGCAACGUCAGUUUCAGGAUGGGCUCUCUGCCAGGCACAGUGGAGCUCACCUUCUAGUACCAAACGUAUCUAGUUGCACUCCAUAAAGAUUAUAUAAAGGACUUCUUCGUAAAUGUGCAUAAUUCUGCUGCCAGAGUAUAGGAGAGUGAGAGAGUAAUUCUGACUAGAGGAAUACAGAUUUCCUGGAAGAGAAGGGAUUUUCCUGGUCUUCCAAAAUGGAGAGGAUUUUGAGAGGAGACGUUUAGUCUUCCACUGGCUCUAAUAUGUAUCUUAGAAAUCCGUAAGAUUUUAGAAGGCUGUUGAAGCAACACUUGAGAGCCCAAUUCAAGGAUAAGACCUGGUGACAUCACUGGUAUCGGAUUCAUACAGAGAAGGAAUAGGUAUGGAAGGCUGUUUGUCUGGGACACAUCUGAAACAAGAAUCUUAACAAUGGUAAAUCUAAAAGCUGGGUCUUCUAAUCUCACGGUAUCAUGUGAUUUUUCUUUCUUACACUCACUGUUAAAACUUCCCAUCCCGAAGCAACAGCAUGUUCACACACAAACACCCCCAUAGACAACUGAAACCAUUAAUAUUCGCAUAGGCCUUGUGACUCAAAGUGUGGGCUCUAGACCCAGAUCACCUGGGAGCUUGUAAGAAAUGCAGAAUCUGGAGCCCCACCCCAGAUGGACUGACUCGAGAUCUGCAUUUUAACACGGUAUCUGGAUUGUUCUCACGCACGUGAAGUCUGAGAAGCACUGACUUAAAAAGCAAGUUUUCGAAGUUGCACGGCCCUCUCAUCCUUAAAACCCACGUAUGUUCAAUUUCAAACCACUACGUA
Neofelis nebulosa (Clouded leopard) is the source of this 1830-nucleotide long non-coding RNA. RefSeq lists it as uncharacterized. The record is from RefSeq and is a predicted model, not a curated record. The transcript is spliced from 3 exons. Lineage: Eukaryota; Metazoa; Chordata; Mammalia; Carnivora; Felidae.